RNAcentral lists this unclassified non-coding RNA (332 nucleotides) under uncultured fungus. Its description in RNAcentral is "partial contains 5.8S ribosomal RNA and internal transcribed spacer 2". The stretch from base 1 to 133 matches the Rfam family "5.8S ribosomal RNA", at positions 22 to 154 of the family's 154-position model. Lineage: Eukaryota; Fungi. The record is from RNAcentral.
UGGUUCUGGCAUCGAUGAAGAACGCAGCGAAAUGCGAUAAGUAAUGUGAAUUGCAGAAUUCAGUGAAUCAUCGAAUCUUUGAACGCACAUUGCGCCCAUUAGUAUUCUAGUGGGCAUGCCUAUUCGAGCGUCAUUUCGACCCUUAAGCCCUCGUUGCUUAGCGUUGGGAGCCUGCGUCCCCUAGGGGCGCAGUUCCUCAAAGUUAGUGGCGGAGCUAGGGCACACUCUAAGCGUAGUAAGCUAUUCUCGCUUCUGUGGUGUACCUGGCUUCCUGCCGUAAAACCCCUAUACAUCUAGUGGUUGACCUCGAAUUAGGUAGGAAUACCCGCUGA